Molecule: non-coding RNA, 723 nt
Filed under: Pan troglodytes (chimpanzee)
Lineage: Eukaryota; Metazoa; Chordata; Mammalia; Primates; Hominidae
Source: RNAcentral
GAACACAAAAUGGCGACACGUGGUUAGCAUUCGUCGCCAACGAGAAAUUGGGGUCGGCCCGAAAGCUCUAGAAUGCACCCCCCUUCUUCCCCGGGGCCUUCCACCUCCGCGAGUUUUAUGACUUAAAAAACCCCACAGGCUGGUCUGAAGAGGAAGACAAACAUAAAGAUGAAGUGCUUAAUUCAAGGUCACACAAUGUCGGGGAUGGACCUCCAGAUUUCCUUACUGGAAAACAAGCUCAGGGCUCCCACUGAUUGUACAUUAUGGUGAGACGUGGUCUUGUAACACAGUGGUUAAGAAUGUGACUUUGGAGCCAGCCUGCUAGGGGCUGAAUUCUGACUCAGCCAUUUACUAACUGUGUGACCUUAGGUCACAGAAUUUUCCACACUCCUUGACGGAGGUGCUUAACCCUUAUCCAUCAGCAUUCUCAGACAGCACCUCCGGUUAGGGACAGUAUCUGACCGUCCGACAUCCCUGCAGCCCCCAUGUGUCACACAGACUCAGCCUCAGGUAGAUGGUUUCCGUAGAUGGUGGCUUUCUUUGGACCCUUGACAUCAACCAGUUACUAUUUGCUCCUGCAACCACCGCUCUACUUUCUGUCUCUAUGAACUUGACUACUCUAGACACCUCAUCUCAGCAAGGCCCACAUUUUCCCGGUGAAGCCACAGAACCACAGGGAGAAACCCAUGGACUUCGCCUCUCUCUCUAGGGGACCAGAUGUGC